AGUGAACGCUGGCGGUAGGCCUAACACAUGCAAGUCGAACGGCAGCACAGUAAGAGCUUGCUCUUACGGGUGGCGAGUGGCGGACGGGUGAGGAAUACAUCGGAAUCUACUUUUUCGUGGGGGAUAACGUAGGGAAACUUACGCUAAUACCGCAUACGACCUACGGGGGAAAGCAGGGGAUCUUCGGACCUUGCGCGAUUGAAUGAGCCGAUGUCGGAUUAGCUAGUUGGCGGGGUAAAGGCCCACCAAGGCGACGAUCCGUAGCUGGUCUGAGAGGAUGGUCAGCCACACUAGAACUGAGACACGGUCCAGAGUCCUAAGGGAGGCAGCAGUGGGGAAUAGUGGACAAUGGGCGCAAGCCUGAUCCAGCCAUACCGAGUGGGUGAAGAGGGCCUUCGGGUUGUAAAGCCCUUUUGUUGGGAAAGAAAAGCAGCAGGUUAAUACCCCGCUGUUCUGACGGUACCCAAAGAAUAAGCACCGGCUAACUUCGUG
RNAcentral lists this ribosomal RNA (492 nucleotides) under uncultured bacterium. RNAcentral describes it as "partial 16S ribosomal RNA". It matches the Rfam family "Bacterial small subunit ribosomal RNA", at positions 29 to 507 of the family's 1533-position model. The record is from RNAcentral.